UGUACUUGGCGCUGCAGACAUCAUUGGAGAGACAUCUUCCCUGCCCACAAGGAUCUUCCAGUCUAAACAGACAAACAACUGCCAUUGUGAACAAAGGCCUCCAGACAUGAGCAAUUCAAGUUAUGAAAAGAUGCCGACAACUUUAAAAAUCAUCCCUAAAGACUGUGCCACUGAUUUUGGCAAGGACAAAUUUCACAUUGACGGCAAUGUACUGUUCUGUACUGUAUCCAGCAAGGCUGUCGAUUACGUUUAAAGACAGACAAUCGUAGAAUACAUGAAAAGCGCUAAAUGCUGAUUCUGAUGGCUGAUAUGAACUCCAAUGUGCAGAACAGCAUCUAUCAGAGUCAGGAUCUCCUUUGUAGUUCGGAGAGGAGAUUUUGCCUUAUGGGAGGUUGAGUACAGCUAGAAGGAUUGUCUAGAAGGUCUGGGUGAGUUGUUCUUUAUCCUAGGGCACAAGUAGAUGAAUAAAGGGCCUCAGUACUGUAUUUAAGAGAGAUACACUGUUUCAAAUGUUAUAAAGGAUUAUGGGACUUUUUUUUUGUGGCUAACAGUGUAUUUUGAGGCCCUGUCCUAAGCUGCAAAUACAAUAAUGGCCAGGGAUUUGUCUAGAACUCAGUUGCCCUCUAACCUGAUCACAGACAUGAUUCUUAUUUGUAGUGUAGACUGCACCUUAACUGUGUUUCGUAAAAAGGCUGAAGCUUUGAACUGACAUGACUUGAAAUUAGUACAAUAACUGACUUGCCCUAGAAGUAGCUUUCCAGGCAUCCUGUGAUUAGGCAGCGUUGGAAUUUUCUCCUGUGUUUAUAUGUGCUUUAUAUUUACACACAUUUCACCCUUUCCUUUCCGUUUGAUGCUACUCACUUCUACAACAGAAGCCAAGUGGCCUUCUCUAGAGCUGUGGAAUCUCAUUUCUGAUUCCUGUGUAUGUGUUUGGAUGGGGCUCAUUUUCCCAAAAUCAGAUAGACUACUUCCUUAAUAUGCUCACUUUGGGAUAAGUUUGGGAAACAACAUUCAGAGUUCUCUCCCAAACUAGACAUUUCUGCAUGGUUGGAGAAUUUAGAUAUUAAUAAUGAAAUUCCAAAUCUCGAUUGCUAUAAAUUGUAUUACAGUUGGUCCAGAACUACAUCUAUAGCUCAGCAAAGCACUUCAGCAUGCAUGUGACGUUAAGUAUGUGAAUAGUCCCGUUGGAGUCACAGGGACUACUCAUAUGCUUAAAGUUACACAUAUAUUUAAGUGCUUCACUGCAUCGGCGUAUAUGAUCCAGGUGAGAAGAGCCUCACUAAGAGACUUUCCUUCUGCCUCUAAGGAGAACACUGAUGGCAGGGCUGUUCUGCAGAUGAUCCUAGAGCACCCUGCACACCCUUUUUCUCAGUAUGUCAGUUCUGCCAUGCAACUGUGAGCAAGUUAAUUUAUUGAAGGCUGUAAUUAUUUGGGAUGAAGAUGAAAUUGCUCAGAGAGUGGAUUUCUGCUGACAGCAAUCUUAGCCCUUCAUUGCCAAGUCAGCAUAAAUUCUUUGUUUGGAUAAAUGUCAAUAAAUAUGCUAGAACAGUAUGAUUUCACUGAAGUAUUUACAUACUGUGCUUUAGCUCCAACAUUAAGUAUGCUACGGCAAAUGGCCACUCAAGUAACUAUGCAAUGUUCCAUUAUAAUCCCAAUUUCCAAUAUCUUCACUGAGGAUAGCUAUUUUAAAGCACAUUUUACUGUUCACAUUAGAAGAGGAACAAAGUAGUUAGAGGGUUACAAUCUAAGCUGAUUUAUUAGGAGGAAAUGUAUUUAAUGUAGUUAGUUUUCUAAUUCUCCUUGAAGGUUGCCUGCUAACGUUUCCAGUGUUUAAUGCCCACGUACCACAGGAGGGAGCCAAUUCUUCAAUAUGCAAAUAUUUUAUGUUACUUGUAAAUAAAAUAAAAGAACCUGAGAAGCACAAAUGAGAAAUAUUCAGAGCUGGGGUUUUAAUUCUAGCCCUUCACUAAUAAAGAUGUUUUAAAGGAAUUUGGUUUGAUAGUUUAUGAGCUUGGUUCUCUGAGUAAUGAAUAAAUGAAACCCAGUCUCUAGUAUCUGUUGCCUGGUGUAUGUUCAUUUGUUGAUCACCAAUACUGUAGCAGACCAGUACAAGAGCCUAUCGUCUACUAAGCAAAUGUCAUAAACACUCCCAAUGGUAUACAUUAGAACCAUUAUUAGAGAUGUUUUGGUGUCAAUCUCCCAAUACUCCAUGGUUCAGCCCCUAUUUACGUUGUUUCUAUUUCCAUCUUCAGCAACUGUGAAAGACCAGUGCUCCAGGAGUCUCCAAGUACCAAAAUAAAGUACCCUGAGGACUUUAUUAAGA
Long non-coding RNA from Mauremys reevesii (Reeves's turtle), 2323 nucleotides. RefSeq lists it as uncharacterized. The record is from RefSeq and is a predicted model, not a curated record. Lineage: Eukaryota; Metazoa; Chordata; Testudines; Geoemydidae. The transcript has 3 exons.